Ribosomal RNA from Ursus maritimus (polar bear), 104 nucleotides. The record is from Ensembl. Lineage: Eukaryota; Metazoa; Chordata; Mammalia; Carnivora; Ursidae.
UCAACCGCUGCAAACAUGCCUAAUCUUGUCUGAUCUUGGAAGCUAAGCAGGGUUGGGUCAGGUUAGCACUUGGAUGGGAGACCUCUAUGGUUCUUAAUUUUUAU